RNAcentral lists this ribosomal RNA (253 nucleotides) under uncultured bacterium. RNAcentral describes it as "partial 16S ribosomal RNA". It matches the Rfam family "Bacterial small subunit ribosomal RNA", at positions 524 to 776 of the family's 1533-position model. The record is from RNAcentral.
UACGUAGGGGGCAAGCGUUGUCCGGAAUCAUUGGGCGUAAAGCGCGUGUAGGCGGUUCGGUAAGUCGGCUGUGAAAGUCCAGGGCUCAACCCCGGAACUGCAUUGGAUACUGCCUUGCUAGAGUACUGGAGAGGGAACUGGAAUUUACGGUGUAGCAGUGAAAUGCGUAGAGAUCGUAAGGAAGGCCAGUGGCGAAGGCGAGUUCCUGGACAGUUACUGACGCUGAGGUGCGAAAGCGUGGGGAGCAAACAGG